GAGUUUGAUCGUGGCUCAGGACGAACGCUGGCGGCGUGCUUAACACAUGCAAGUCGAACGCUGAAACCAGAUGCUUGCAUUUGGUGGAUGAGUGGCGAACGGGUGAGUAACACGUGGGUGAUCUGCCCUGCACUUUGGGAUAAGCCUGGGAAACUGGGUCUAAUACCGAAUAUUCACACCACCGUAGGGGUGGUGUGGAAAGCUUUAUGCGGUGUGGGAUGAGCCUGCGGCCUAUCAGCUUGUUGGUGGGGUAAUGGCCUACCAAGGCGUCGACGGGUAGCCGGCCUGAGAGGGUGUACGGCCACAUUGGGACUGAGACACGGCCCAGACUCCUACGGGAGGCAGCAGUGGGGAAUAUUGCACAAUGGGCGCAAGCCUGAUGCAGCG
RNAcentral lists this ribosomal RNA (387 nucleotides) under uncultured bacterium. RNAcentral's name for it is "bacterial SSU rRNA". It matches the Rfam family "Bacterial small subunit ribosomal RNA", at positions 9 to 393 of the family's 1533-position model. The record is from RNAcentral.